GACGAACGCUGGCGGCGUGCUUAACACAUGCAAGUCGAACGGAAAGGCCCUGCUUUUGUGGGGUGCUCGAGUGGCGAACGGGUGAGUAACACGUGAGUAACCUGCCCUUGACUUUGGGAUAACUUCAGGAAACUGGGGCUAAUACCGGAUAGGAGCUCCUGCUGCAUGGUGGGGGUUGGAAAGUUUCGGCGGUUGGGGAUGGACUCGCGGCUUAUCAGCUUGUUGGUGGGGUAGUGGCUUACCAAGGCUUUGACGGGUAGCCGGCCUGAGAGGGUGACCGGCCACAUUGGGACUGAGAUACGGCCCAGACUCCUACGGGAGGCAGUAGUGGGGAAUAUUGCACAAUGGGCGGAAGCCUGUUGCAGCAACGCCGCGUGCGGGAUGACGGCCUUCGGGUUGUAAACCGCUUUCGCCUGUGACGAAGCGUGAGUGACGGUAAUGGGUAAAGAAGCACCGGCUAACUACGUG
RNAcentral lists this ribosomal RNA (468 nucleotides) under uncultured bacterium. RNAcentral's name for it is "partial 16S ribosomal RNA". It matches the Rfam family "Bacterial small subunit ribosomal RNA", at positions 28 to 507 of the family's 1533-position model. The record is from RNAcentral.